RNAcentral lists this ribosomal RNA (468 nucleotides) under uncultured bacterium. RNAcentral describes it as "partial 16S ribosomal RNA". It matches the Rfam family "Bacterial small subunit ribosomal RNA", at positions 28 to 507 of the family's 1533-position model. The record is from RNAcentral.
GACGAACGCUGGCGGCGUGCUUAACACAUGCAAGUCGAACGGAAAGGCCCUGCUUUUGUGGGGUGCUCGAGUGGCGAACGGGUGAGUAACACGUGAGUAACCUGCCCUUGACUUUGGGAUAACUUCAGGAAACUGGGGCUAAUACCGGAUAGGAGCUCCUGCUGCAUGGUGGGGGUUGGAAAGUUUCGGCGGUUGGGGAUGGACUCGCGGCUUAUCAGCUUGUUGGUGGGGUAGUGGCUUACCAAGGCUUUGACGGGUAGCCGGCCUGAGAGGGUGACCGGCCACAUUGGGACUGAGAUACGGCCCAGACUACUACGGGAGGCAGCAGUGGGGAAUAUUGCACAAUGGGCGGAAGGCUGAUGCAGCAACGCCGCGUGCGGGAUGACGGCCUUCGGGUUGUAAACCGCUUUCGCCUGUGACGAAGCGUGAGUGACGGUAAUGGGUAAAGAAGCACCGGCUAACUACGUG